This 465-nucleotide ribosomal RNA is filed under the name uncultured bacterium. RNAcentral's name for it is "partial 16S ribosomal RNA". It matches the Rfam family "Bacterial small subunit ribosomal RNA", at positions 28 to 507 of the family's 1533-position model. The record is from RNAcentral.
GACGAACGCUGGCGGCGUGCUUAACACAUGCAAGUCGAACGGAAAGGCCCUGCUUGCAGGGUACUCGAGUGGCGAACGGGUGAGUAACACGUGGGUGAUCUGCCCUGCACUUCGGGAUAAGCCUGGGAAACUGGGUCUAAUACCGGAUAGGAGCCAUCUUUAGUGUGAUGGUUGGAAAGUUUUUUCGGUGUAGGGUGAGCUCGCGGCCUAUCAGCUUGUUGGUGGGGUAAUGGCCUACCAAGGCGGGGCCGGGUAGCCGGCCUGAGAGGGUGGACGGGCACAUUGGGACUGAGAUACGGCCCCGACUCCUACGGGAGGCAGCAGUGGGGAAUAUUGCGCAAUGGGCGCGAGCCUGAUGCAGCGACGCCGCGUGGGGGAGGACGGCCUUCGGGUUGUAAACUCCUUUCGCUAGGGACGAAGCUUUUUGUGACGGUACCUAGAUAAGAAGCACCGGCUAACUACGUG